GCACACCCGGCCACGCUCGCACUCGCGCGGCCGCGGGGCCGGCUGCUUACCUCCGGGGCCUCAUGGUCGCGUCGCUAGCCUGGAUGCCCUGGACAUCAUUCCGAACAGCACAAUUCAAGGCUCUUGGGUAACCCCCUCCCACACCAACUCUGAGUUUGUUUAUGGCUUGUUUUGGACAAUAAGACAUUAGCAAAUGAGAUAUAAGUACAGGCUUGAGAAGUACAUGGGCACUGGGGCUUGCUUGCUGGCUGCUCUGUGGAACCUGAGACUACCACGUGAAGAAGAAGUUCGAAGUGCUAGAGGUUGAGAGAACAUGUGCAGCAAAGAUGAAGCAUCCCAGCUGAGAUUCCCCUAGAUCAAUCAGCUUGCCAACUGCCGCAAAAGCGAAUAAAGCCUUCCAAGAGCAUCCAGCUAUAAGCAUUUCUGUAGCCACCUGCGGCAGGAGAAUGGCGUGAACCCGGGAGGUGGAGCUUCCAGUGAGCCGAGAUCGCUCCACUGCACUCCAGCCUGGGCGACAAAGCGAGACUCCGUCUCAAAAAAAAAAAAAA
Molecule: long non-coding RNA, 548 nt
Filed under: Homo sapiens (human)
Lineage: Eukaryota; Metazoa; Chordata; Mammalia; Primates; Hominidae
Description: LIN28B antisense RNA 1
Source: RNAcentral